AUUUAGAUAGCUUAAGAAUAGAGCAUAAUAUUGAAGAUAUUGAGGUAGUAAAUUACUUUUAAAUA
Molecule: transfer RNA, 65 nt
Filed under: Phryganogryllacris xiai
Lineage: Eukaryota; Metazoa; Arthropoda; Insecta; Orthoptera; Gryllacrididae
Description: tRNA-Phe
Source: RNAcentral